RNAcentral lists this ribosomal RNA (256 nucleotides) under uncultured bacterium. RNAcentral's name for it is "partial 16S ribosomal RNA". It matches the Rfam family "Bacterial small subunit ribosomal RNA", at positions 521 to 776 of the family's 1533-position model. The record is from RNAcentral.
UAAGACGGAGGGGGCUAGCGUUGUUCGGAAUGACUGGGCGUAAAGGGCGCGUAGGCGGCUUAUCAAGUCAGGUGUGAAAGCCUUGGGCUUAACCCAAGAACUGCGCUUGAUACUGAUAGGCUUGAGGAUGAUAGAGGAAAGCGGAAUUCCUAGUGUAGAGGUGAAAUUCGUAGAUAUUAGGAAGAACACCAGAGGCGAAGGCGGCUUUCUGGAUCAUAUCUGACGCUGAGGCGCGAAAGCGUGGGGAGCAAACAGG